GAGUAGCUGGGACUACAGGCGCCCGCCAUCACGCCCGGCUGCUUUUUUUGUUUUAGUAGAGAGGAGGUUUCACCGUGUUAGCCAGGAUGGUCUCAAUCUCCUGACCUCGUGAUCCGCCCGCCUCGGCCUCUCAAAGUGCUGGGAUUACACGCGUGAGCCACCGCGCCUGGCCUGAAGAAAGUUAAGUGAAGACAGAACAAGAAAACAAACCAAGAAUUUCCCCUCACCAGCCACCAGCUCUGCCAGCAACUUGAUCUUAGACUUCCCAGCCUCCGUAACGCCUCUGCUUAUAAUCUGUCAUGGAUUGGAAAACUAGAAAAAACAGUUUACAGAGUAUAACAAACUUUGGAGGAGUUAAUCGACUCUAAGUAAAAGAGUAUCUAGCACGGCUGUGGAACAAAGGAGAGACUCACAAACUGUUGAAAGAAUAAAUGAAUGAAUGAAUUCUGUUCAUGAGCUUUAAUAAAACAGCUCUGAGUAGUAACAGUGGAUCAAAUUUAGGCUUCUUGAUGCAGGCAUGGUGUAGAUUACUACUUCUGUAUUGUCCCAGGAGCUCAGCACAUUCCUGCAGAGAUGAUAGGAGCUCAUCUGAUACUUGUCAGCUCUGUAGCCAAGACCAGGAAGUGGCUGCAUUACAAGGUACAAAACAUGCCCCCACAACCCCCAGCUCCCGACAUGAGGAAGAUGAGCAGAGCAGUUUCCUCUAAAAUCUGCUUGGCUGGGGCAAGCAUGAUGAUAUCUAUAGGUAAAAGCUUUGAAUAAACUCCAGUCCCCAAGAGAGAGAAUGAGAAUCACCGGAAUACGAAACUUCCCUGUUGGACUUCCCAACAUUCUUGAAUGCACCAAGAUAGCCUCUUGCUGUGAGAUUAAUAAAUGAAUAAAUGCCUCCAUAUUUUUCAAAUCUGUGAAGUUAACAACAUGUAGAUUUUUUUGCAUAUUUAAAAACUGCAACUAAAUCUUAAUGCCUCUGAAGCAGAUGGAAGAAAAUAAUAGGCUUCCAUUAACUGUGUCAAAUUGUAUAGGUCUUGGCCAUCACUGGUCCUGUUGUGAUGAAGGUUUUUUGCCCUUGGAUAUAAUUUAAUUUUCAAUUCUUCUAAUUAUGGUACUUCAGAACAUCAAUAUUUGAGAUGAACUUCUCUAGUGUCAAGGACUGAUUUGAGUUGUGUAAACCCUGAAUAUCUGAGACAGGUCUCGAUUAUUUUAGAAAGUUUAUUUUGCCAAGGUUGAGGAUGUGUGCCUGUGACACGGCCUCGGGAGGUCCUGAGGACAUGUGCUCAAGGUGGUCAGAGCACAGCUUUGCUUUAUACAUUUUAGAGAGACAUGAGACAUCAACCGACAUAUGUAAGAUGAACAUUGGUUCCAUCUGGAAAGGCGAGACAACUUCAAACGAGGAGGGGGCUUCCAGGUCAUAGGUAGAUAAGAGACAAAUGGCUGCAUUCUUUUGAGUUUCUGAUUAGCCUUUCCAAAGGAGGCAAUUAGAGUGAGCAAAAUGAACAAAAUCAAUUAUUUUGAUUCUGAACAAAAUGGGAGGCUGGUUUUCCCUAAGCAGUUCCCAGCUUGACUUUUCCCUUUAGCUGAGGGAUUUGGGGGGCCCAAGAUUUAUUUUUCUUUCACCGUUGUAUCAAACUACACAGGCGGCCUUGGAAACCAUCACAGUUGAGAGUAGGUAACGCCCAUUUGUUGCAUAGUUUUGUGCUCCACACUCUUAUCUACAAAAUUAUGAAUUUUUUUACAUAUAUUAAUUUCAGAAAAACUAAAAAUAAAACAAAGUAGUUUCAAAC
Molecule: long non-coding RNA, 1781 nt
Organism: Homo sapiens (human)
Lineage: Eukaryota; Metazoa; Chordata; Mammalia; Primates; Hominidae
Source: Ensembl